AGUGAACGCUGGCGGUAGGCCUAACACAUGCAAGUCGAACGGCAGCACAGUAAGAGCUUGCUCUUACGGGUGGCGAGUGGCGGACGGGUGAGGAAUACAUCGGAAUCUACUUUUUCGUGGGGGAUAACGUAGGGAAACUUACGCUAAUACCGCAUACGGCCUACGGGUGAAAGCAGGGGAUCUUCGGACCUUGCGCGACUGAAUGAGCCGAUGUCGGAUUAGCUAGUUGGCGGGGUAAAGGCCCACCAAGGCGACGAUCCGUAGCUGGUCUGAGAGGAUGAUCAGCCACACUGGAACUGAGACACGGUCCAGACUCCUACGGGAGGCAGCAGUGGGGAAUAUUGGACAAUGGGCGCAAGCCUGAUCCAGCCAUGCCGCGUGAGUGAAGAAGGCCUUCGGGUUGUAAAGCCCUUUUGUUGGGAAAGAAAAGCAGCAGGUUAAUACCCCGCUGUUCUGACGGUACCCAAAGAAUAAGCACCGGCUAACUUCGUG
RNAcentral lists this ribosomal RNA (492 nucleotides) under uncultured bacterium. Its description in RNAcentral is "partial 16S ribosomal RNA". It matches the Rfam family "Bacterial small subunit ribosomal RNA", at positions 29 to 507 of the family's 1533-position model. The record is from RNAcentral.